UACGUAGGGGGCGAGCGUUGUCCGGAAUUACUGGGCGUAAAGGGCGCGCAGGCGGCCCGCUAAGUCCGCUGUGAAAGACCGGGGCUCAACCCCGGGGUGUCAGCGGAGACUGGUGGGCUAGGGUGUCGGAGAGGAGUGCGGAAUCCCUGGUGUAGCGGUGGAAUGCGUAGAGAUCAGGGGGAACACCGAUGGCGAAGGCAGCACUCUGGCCGGAGACCGACGCUGAGGCGCGAAAGCUGGGGGAGCGAACGGGG
This 254-nucleotide ribosomal RNA is filed under the name uncultured bacterium. Its description in RNAcentral is "partial 16S ribosomal RNA". It matches the Rfam family "Bacterial small subunit ribosomal RNA", at positions 524 to 777 of the family's 1533-position model. The record is from RNAcentral.